RNAcentral lists this ribosomal RNA (1054 nucleotides) under Sordariomycetes sp. genotype 56. RNAcentral describes it as "eukaryotic LSU rRNA". The stretch from base 476 to 1054 matches the Rfam family "Eukaryotic large subunit ribosomal RNA", at positions 1 to 592 of the family's 3401-position model. Lineage: Eukaryota; Fungi; Ascomycota; Sordariomycetes. The record is from RNAcentral. RNAcentral also lists the same sequence under 1 other name.
GCUACUUCAAACCAUCGCGAACUCGUCCAAGUUGCUUCGGCGGCGCGGCACCCCUUAACGGGGGCGCCGCAGCCCUGCCUCUCCGGAGGUUCGGGGCGCCCGCCGGAGGUACGAAACUCUGUAUUAUAGUGGCAUCUCUGAGUAUAAAACAAAUAAGUUAAAACUUUCAACAACGGAUCUCUUGGUUCUGGCAUCGAUGAAGAACGCAGCGAAAUGCGAUAAGUAAUGUGAAUUGCAGAAUUCAGUGAAUCAUCGAAUCUUUGAACGCACAUUGCGCCCGGUAGUACUCUACCGGGCAUGCCUGUUCGAGCGUCAUUUCAACCCUCAAGCCCUGCUUGGUGUUGGGGCCCUACGGCUGCCGUAGGCCCUGAAAGGAAGUGGCGGGCUCGCUACAACUCCGAGCGUAGUAAUUCAUUAUCUCGCUAGGGAGGUUGCGGCGUGCUCCUGCCGUUAAAGACCCAUCUUUAACCAAGGUUGACCUCGGAUCAGGUAGGAAUACCCGCUGAACUUAAGCAUAUCAAUAAGCGGAGGAAAAGAAACCAACAGGGAUUGCCCUAGUAACGGCGAGUGAAGCGGCAACAGCUCAAAUUUGAAAUCUGGCUUCGGCCCGAGUUGUAAUUUGUAGAGGAUGCUUUUGGUGAGGUGCCUUCUGAGUUCCCUGGAACGGGACGCCAGAGAGGGUGAGAGCCCCGUAUAGUCGGCCACCGAUCCUUUGUAAAGCUCCUUCGACGAGUCGAGUAGUUUGGGAAUGCUGCUCAAAAUGGGAGGUAUAUCUCUUCUAAAGCUAAAUAUAGGCCAGAGACCGAUAGCGCACAAGUAGAGUGAUCGAAAGAUGAAAAGCACUUUGAAAAGAGGGUUAAAUAGCACGUGAAAUUGUUGAAAGGGAAGCGCUUGUGACCAGACUUGUGCCGGGCUGAUCAUCCAGUGUUCUCACUGGUGCACUCGACCCGGCUCAGGCCAGCGUCGGUUUUCGUGGGGGGAUAAAAGCUUCGGGAACGUGGCACCUUCGGGUGUGUUAUAGCCCGUUGCUUAAUACCUCCGUGGAGACCGAGGU